RNAcentral lists this long non-coding RNA (559 nucleotides) under Calidris pygmaea (Spoon-billed sandpiper). Its description in RNAcentral is "lncRNA (ENSCPGG00000018634.1)". Lineage: Eukaryota; Metazoa; Chordata; Aves; Charadriiformes; Scolopacidae. The record is from RNAcentral.
AUGAAGCUGUAUUCAUUUUCAGGAAAUAAUUCACAAAUUAAAGCACUCCUUAUUCAGAAAGUUGCAAAUGGUCAUUCAUUAAUUGCAGCAUUAGAUGUCCCUCCUAUAGAGCUUUCUGCUGACCACUAUUGUGCUCUGCCCUGGCUGUGUGCACGCAGUGCCUCUUACAAAACAGGACUUGCAUAAUACACAGCUUGGAAAGCAAUUUGUCUGGCCCGCUCACUGGCUGAGAAGCUGUGCAUACUUGCUGUCUGGCAGCUGGCAAGUCAUCUCAAGGAUAGCUGUUCUGGAAGGAAACAGAAAAAGGUUCCUUUGAAAAGAAGGCUGGUAUCUAAAAAAUGUUUGUGUGGUGCUAUCUUUUUGUGCUAGUGCAAGAAAGUAAAAAUGUGCUUACACAUGGAGAGUGAGUAGGAGAGAUACUGCUAUAGACUACAACUGGAUGUAGGCAGUUGGGAAGGCAUUGUUCUGGAGGGAAGAGGGAAAGGACGUUGGAUGGAUAAGUCAUGGGAAGAGAUGACAUAUAGCCCAAAGUUAAUAAAAUAAGGUCAUUCAAACCCCA